RNAcentral lists this ribosomal RNA (217 nucleotides) under uncultured Streptococcaceae bacterium. RNAcentral describes it as "partial 16S ribosomal RNA". It matches the Rfam family "Bacterial small subunit ribosomal RNA", at positions 122 to 334 of the family's 1533-position model. The record is from RNAcentral. Lineage: Bacteria; Bacillati; Bacillota; Bacilli; Lactobacillales; Streptococcaceae.
UAACCUGCCUUGUAGCGGGGGAUAACUAUUGGAAACGAUAGCUAAUACCGCAUAAAAGACGAUAUCGCAUGAUAUUGAUUUGAAAGGUGCAAAUGCAUCACUAAGAGAUGGACCUGCGUUGUAUUAGCUAGUUGGUGAGGUAACGGCUCACCAAGGCAACGAUACAUAGCCGACCUGAGAGGGUGAUCGGCCACACUGGGACUGAGACACGGCCCAG